GACAGAGGGUGCAAACGUUGUUCGGAAUUACUGGGCGUAAAGCGCGUGUAGGCGGCUAAGUAAGUCGGGCGUGAAAUCCCACGGCUCAACCGUGGAAGUGCACUCGAAACUGCAUAGCUAGAGUCCUGGAGAGGAAGGUGGAAUGCUUGGUGUAGAGGUGAAAUUCGUAGAUAUCAAGCGGAACACCGGUGGCGAAGGCGGCCUUCUGGACAGUGACUGACGCUGAGACGGCGAAA
This 236-nucleotide ribosomal RNA is filed under the name uncultured bacterium. RNAcentral describes it as "partial 16S ribosomal RNA". It matches the Rfam family "Bacterial small subunit ribosomal RNA", at positions 524 to 758 of the family's 1533-position model. The record is from RNAcentral.